Molecule: microRNA precursor, 63 nt
Filed under: Chlorocebus sabaeus (green monkey)
Lineage: Eukaryota; Metazoa; Chordata; Mammalia; Primates; Cercopithecidae
Description: miRNA (ENSCSAG00000024963.1)
Source: RNAcentral
GCCUCCCUUCACUUCCUGGCCAUCCAAAGCAUCUGUGUCUGUGUCCGGGAAGUCGAGGAGGGC